CAGGUUUACCUGUGUGACUGCGUACCUUUUGUAUAAUGGGUCAGCGACUUAUAUUCUGUAGCAAGGUUAACCGAAUAGGGGAGCCGGAGGGAAACCGAGUCUUAACCGGGCGUUAAGUUGCAGGGUAUAGACCCGAAACCCGGUGAUCUAGCCAUGGGCAGGUUGAAGGUUGGGUAACACUAACUGGAGGACCGAACCGACUAAUGUUGAAAAAUUAGCGGAUGACCUGUGGCUGGGGGUGAAAGGCCAAUCAAACCGGGAGAUAGCUGGUUCUCCCCGAAAGCUAUUUAGGUAGCGCCUCGUGAAUUCAUCUCCGGGGGUAGAGCACUGUUUCGGCUAGGGGGCCAUCCCGGCUUACCAACCCGAUGCAAACUGCGAAUACCGGAGAAUGUUAUCACGGGAGACACACGGCGGGUGCUAACGUCCGUCGUGAAGAGGGAAACAACCCAGACCGCCAGCUAAGGUCCCAAAGUCAUGGUUAAGUGGGAAACGAUGUGGGAAGGCCCAGACAGCCAGGAUGUUGGCUUAGAAGCAGCCAUCAUUUAAAGAAAGCGUAAUAGCUCACUGGUCGAGUCGGCCUGCGCGGAAGAUGUAACGGGGCUAAACCAUGCACCGAAGCUGCGGCAGCGACGCUGAUGCGUUGUUGGGUAGGGGAGCGUUCUGUAAGCCUGCGAAGGUGGCCUGUGAGGGUUGCUGGAGGUAUCAGAAGUGCGAAUGCUGACAUAAGUAACGAUAAAGCGGGUGAAAAGCCCGCUCGCCGGAAGACCAAGGGUUCCUGUCCAACGUUAAUCGGGGCAGGGUGAGUCGACCCCUAAGGCGAGGCCGAAAGGCGUAGUCGAUGGGAAACGGGUUAAUAUUCCCGUACUUGGUGUUACUGCGAAGGGGGGACGGAGAAGGCUAUGUUGGCCGGGCGACGGUUGUCCCGGUUUAAGCGUGUAGGCUGGUUUUCCAGGCAAAUCCGGAAAAUCAAGGCUGAGGCGUGAUGACGAGGCACUACGGUGCUGAAGCAACAAAUGCCCUGCUUCCAGGAAAAGCCUCUAAGCAUCAGGUAACAUCAAAUCGUACCCCAAACCGACACAGGUGGUCAGGUAGAGAAUACCAAGGCGCUUGAGAGAACUCGGGUGAAGGAACUAGGCAAAAUGGUGCCGUAACUUCGGGAGAAGGCACGCUGACACGUAGGUGAAGUGAUUUACUCAUGGAGCUGAAGUCAGUCGAAGAUACCAGCUGGCUGCAACUGUUUAUUAAAAACACAGCACUGUGCAAACACGAAAGUGGACGUAUACGGUGUGACGCCUGCCCGGUGCCGGAAGGUUAAUUGAUGGGGUCAGCGCAAGCGAAGCUCCUGAUCGAAGCCCCGGUAAACGGCGGCCGUAACUAUAACGGUCCUAAGGUAGCGAAAUUCCUUGUCGGGUAAGUUCCGACCUGCACGAAUGGCGUAAUGAUGGCCAGGCUGUCUCCACCCGAGACUCAGUGAAAUUGAACUCGCUGUGAAGAUGCAGUGUACCCGCGGCAAGACGGAAAGACCCCGUGAACCUUUACUAUAGCUUGACACUGAACAUUGAGCCUUGAUGUGUAGGAUAGGUGGGAGGCUUUGAAGUGUGGACGCCAGUCUGCAUGGAGCCGACCUUGAAAUACCACCCUUUAAUGUUUGAUGUUCUAACGUGGACCCGUUACCCGGGUUGCGGACAGUGUCUGGUGGGUAGUUUGACUGGGGCGGUCUCCUCCUAAAGAGUAACGGAGGAGCACGAAGGUUGGCUAAUCCUGGUCGGACAUCAGGAGGUUAGUGCAAUGGCAUAAGCCAGCCUGACUGCGAGCGUGACGGCGCGAGCAGGUGCGAAAGCAGGUCAUAGUGAUCCGGUGGUUCUGAAUGGAAGGGCCAUCGCUCAACGGAUAAAAGGUACUCCGGGGAUAACAGGCUGAUACCGCCCAAGAGUUCAUAUCGACGGCGGUGUUUGGCACCUCGAUGUCGGCUCAUCACAUCCUGGGGCUGAAGUAGGUCCCAAGGGUAUGGCUGUUCGCCAUUUAAAGUGGUACGCGAGCUGGGUUUAGAACGUCGUGAGACAGUUCGGUCCCUAUCUGCCGUGGGCGCUGGAGAACUGAGGGGGGCUGCUCCUAGUACGAGAGGACCGGAGUGGACGCAUCACUGGUGUUCGGGUUGUCAUGCCAAUGGCACUGCCCGGUAGCUAAAUGCGGAAGAGAUAAGUGCUGAAAGCAUCUAAGCACGAAACUUGCCCCGAGAUGAGUUCUCCCUGAGACUUAGAGUCUCCUGAAGGAACGUUGAAGACGACGACGUUGAUAGGCCGGGUGUGUAAGCGCAGCGAUGCGUUGAGCUAACCGGUACUAAUGAACCGUGAGGCUUAACCUUACAACGCCGAAG
RNAcentral lists this ribosomal RNA (2377 nucleotides) under Salmonella enterica. RNAcentral's name for it is "partial 23S ribosomal RNA". It matches the Rfam family "Bacterial large subunit ribosomal RNA", at positions 580 to 2925 of the family's 2925-position model. The record is from RNAcentral. Lineage: Bacteria; Pseudomonadati; Pseudomonadota; Gammaproteobacteria; Enterobacterales; Enterobacteriaceae.